This 492-nucleotide ribosomal RNA is filed under the name uncultured bacterium. Its description in RNAcentral is "SSU rRNA". It matches the Rfam family "Bacterial small subunit ribosomal RNA", at positions 26 to 521 of the family's 1533-position model. The record is from RNAcentral.
AGGACGAACGCUGGCGGCGUGCUUAACACAUGCAAGUGGAGCGACGAACCAGGGCUUGCCCUGGGGCAGAGCCGCGAACGGGUGAGUAACACGUGGGUUACCUGCCUUGAUGACCGGGACAACCCGAGGAAACUCGGGCUAAUACCGGAUGUGCCCGCAAGGGGAAAGGAAGCUUCGGCCUCCGCAUCAAGAUGGGCCCGCGGCCCAUUAGCUAGUUGGUGAGGUAACGGCUCACCAAGGCUUCGAUGGGUAGCUGGUCUGAGAGGACGAUCAGCCACACUGGGACUGAGACACGGCCCAGACUCCUACGGGAGGCAGCAGUGGGGAAUCUUGCGCAAUGCGCGAAAGCGUGACGCAGCAACGCCGCGUGGGGAAGAAGGCUUUCGGGUGUAAACCCUUUCAGUUGGGACGAAGCUUCUCCGGUGAAUAGCCGGACGGAGUGACGGUACCUUCACAAGAAGCACCGGCUAACUACGUGCCAGCAGCCGCGGU